Molecule: ribosomal RNA, 385 nt
Filed under: uncultured bacterium
Lineage: Bacteria
Description: bacterial SSU rRNA
Rfam family: Bacterial small subunit ribosomal RNA
Source: RNAcentral
AUUGAACGCUGGCGGCAGGCUUAACACAUGCAAGUCGAGCGGAGACUUCGGUCUUAGCGGCGAACGGGUGAGUAAUACCUAGGAAUCUGCCUAUUAGUGGGGGAUAACGAAUCGAAAGGUUCGCUAAUACCGCAUACGUCCUACGGGAGAAAGGGGGGAGUCUUCGGACCUCUCGCUAAUAGAUGAGCCUAGGCCGGAUUAGCUAGUUGGUAGGGUAAAGGCCUACCAAGGCGACGAUCUGUAGCUGGUCUGAGAGGAUGGCCAGCCACGCUGGAACUGAGACACGGUCCAGACUCCUACGGGAGGCAGCAGUGGGGAAUAUUGGACAAUGGGGGCAACCCUGAUCCAGCCAUGCCGCGUGUGUGAAGAAGGCCUCGGUUGUAAG